Molecule: RNA transcript, 4248 nt
Organism: Haliaeetus leucocephalus (bald eagle)
Lineage: Eukaryota; Metazoa; Chordata; Aves; Accipitriformes; Accipitridae
Gene: DNAJB12
Gene name: DnaJ (Hsp40) homolog, subfamily B, member 12
Exons: 9
Source: RefSeq, a predicted model, not a curated record
CUCCCCGGUGCUGCCCCUCACCCACUCAGGGCCCUUUUCUCUAACGUGGGGGGCUGUGAGGAGAGGGUCUCUGUCCAGAGAGGAGGGCGGGAAGAGUUCUGCUUGAAUCACUCAACAAGAACGAGCAAUCAGCCAAUGGCCAGUCCCAAUCCAGGGAGUCCACAAACUCUCAGUUCAAGAAAAUGAGCAGAGACUUCCCAUCGGCCAAUGGAGAGGCUGGUGGGGAGGCCCCCAAGGGCUACACUCAGGACCAGGUGGAUGCAGUGAAGAGGGUAAAGCAGUGCAAAGAUUACUAUGAAAUUCUGGGAGUAAACAGAGAAGCUUCUGAUGAGGACCUGAAAAAGGCCUACCGGAAACUUGCACUGAAGUUUCACCCAGAUAAGAACCACGCACCAGGGGCUACAGAGGCAUUUAAAGCCAUUGGUAAUGCAUACGCAGUAUUGAGCAACCCAGAGAAGAGGAAGCAAUAUGACCAGUUUGGAGAUGAGAAACUCAACCCUGCUCGGCACGGACACAGUCACUCGGACUUCCACCGUGGGUUUGAGGCCGACAUCUCACCCGAGGACCUCUUCAACAUGUUUUUUGGUGGUGGUUUUCCUUCUAGUAACGUUCACGUAUACAGCAAUGGCAGGAUGCGAUAUACCUACCAUCAGAGGCAGGACAGACGAGAACAUCAGGGUGACGGUGGCCUUGGGUUGUUUGUCCAGCUGAUGCCUAUCCUCAUCCUGAUCAUUGUGUCUGCUCUCAGCCAGAUGAUGGUCUCCAGCCCACCCUACAGUUUGAGCCAGAGGCCGUCUGUGGGUCACAUACACAGGAGAGUGACAGAGCACUUGAAAGUCAGCUACUACGUAUCUGAGAACUUUGCAGACGAAUACACAGGCACAAACCUGAAAAACGUUGAAAGGAGCGUGGAGGACGACUAUAUUGCAAACCUUCGAAAUAACUGCUGGAAAGAGAAGCAGCAGAAGGAAGGCUUGUUGUACCGGGCACGCUACUUCGGAGACUCGGAUCUGUACCAGCGAGCACAGAAGAUGGGCACCCCCAGCUGUAGCAGACUGUCAGAUGUUCAAGCCUCUCUGCACGGAUAGUCACCGCCUGCCCGCUCAGCAGAGGUCUAAGUACGAGCUGGUGGUGCUUCCCCUGGCAGCGGAGCAGGGCACAAUAGUGCUUUUCAUACUUACUUAAAUCUCUGUUUGCGACACAGAUCUUCACCACUCUCCUCUGGAUGCACCCCCAUCACAGGGGGGAAGCACCCCCCUCUGUCAAGCGUACACUCAUUAAUCGGGAAAUUGAUUUUGUUUAGUUUGCAUGUCGGCACUCUCAGCUCCUCUCUCCAAGCUCACUGUUUUCUCUGGCACUGUCAGUGUUGGGUCUCUAGGAACAGAGCAAACGCUCCAGGCAUGUUAGCGACUCGGCAGAAGUCUUGUCAACUGCACAUUCGAUACAGCAGCCGUGCGUGCCUCAGCUGGUUGGAAGAUUUUUACCGGCCGUGGCAGCCAGCCGCCAGGUUUUAAUGAAACUUUUUUUGGUUGCUUUAUUGUCUGUUUUACUGAAAAAGCUGUUAUCCCCUGGCACUGGGAGCAGUAUGAUGACAGGGAACGGACUCUUACCAAACAGAUGUUCCUUGCCCCCCCGUUGCCUUCCCAUGACACUCAAGGAGAACAAAGCAAAUGGCCAGAGUUCACAGCAGGUUGUAGAAAUAUCUUACUGCGUUAAACUGGGAAUCAAAGUAAAAACAGCUGAGGGGGAUUCUGGAAGACUCGGGGGUUGAAGAGCUUGAAUUAAGGCGAGCCCAGAUAGCACGCAUGAGACCGGGUGUGCUGGGUCAUGGGAGAACUGCACAAAAAUAAUGAAAAAAAUUGGCAUGGAGUUUGGAGUCCUUUUUCUGCUUAAUUAUCUGGGCUGAUUUUGCCUACCAGAUACUGCUGGGGUGGCUGUAAAACAUACAGGUUCCUCCUGCCACAAAAUUAUUUGAAAACAGGGUUUCUACAGAAAAUAAAUUGGAGGUGAAGCUUGCACCAAGUGUUAGUUGUACGGACACCAUUUAGGCUUGCAAAGACUUCUUGGGAACGUUGGGCUUCUAGCUGCUUGAUUGUGGACACAAGUAAGGAGGUUUGGCAGGGGAGGUUUUGUUCGGUUUUUGUUUUUCUUGGCAAAGGGAGCGCGUCUGAAAGUUUGGCCUUUAAAGCAAUUCCUCUGGGUCGCAUUUGGCCUUUUUUUGGGUGUAUCCUGUUUUUGGAACCGUUCUUAUCUUGAUACGCCCACUCUCUUGUUUUGAUAACUGCACCUCUUCUUUCAUGAUAGACCGGCAUUAAUUACCUGCUUUUCUUUAAUUCCCUCUCUCUACCCGUGGUCUGAAAAGAGAGCUGCUCUUAGGCAGAGGGCCUGCUGCGGACUGAGAUAGUGCAAUUGAACUCAUGAAACGCCUGAAGACUUUUGGUGAAGUGCACUGAGCCGAGGUGACAGACUUGAUAUUUAAAAGAAUCAAACCUUAUCUUAAAAAUGGAAUUGGAGAAUUAGCAACGCACAACUGCCCUUUUUCUUCUCUCUGCCUGUCUCCGCUGUUCGACCUACAUCUCAGGCAGCGAUUAGGACAGGAAAUCAAGCUGCCCGUCUUCCUCCUUCCCUUCUGACACCGCUAGUGUGCGACAGUCUCCUUGCUCCUGGGCUCCCACAACCCCAAGAACAGACGCGUAGAGUGUAAAAUAACACAAACUAACUGCAGAAGCCGUGAAGCAGAAGGAGAUCCUUCGCAACUGCGCUGGUCACUGCCGACGGAGAGAGAAAUUGGACGAUUUGGUGAUAAAAGAAAACUUUGAAAAAAAGAAAAUAUAAUCUAUUUAGAAUUAAUUUAUAGCUGUAUAUAUGUUGUACUUUUAAACUAUGCAGGGGUUGGAUGAUUAAAUUAUUUUGUUUUCUGCCCGGUUUGGUAAACAAGGAAGCGGGAAGUCUUUUCCCAGGGUGUCUUGCUCUGCAGUGCUUUCCUGCCUGACACACUAAAAGAAGAAUCACUUUGCUGUUACUGUAUUUUGCUUUCUGGAGGACAGCGGCAUUCUGCGGCUUGGGAUGUCGAUACCUGCCUUUCGGGUUUUAAUAAAAGAAAUUCCAAAUCUGUAGGGGGUAACAAAGAAAUUGGGGAAACUGUCCAGAUUUGUGGUGUGGUUCUGCAACGUGGGCAGAAGCUGCAGCGGGUCAGCUGAGCCCCCGCGUCGUACUCAGUGAUGGGAAGGAUUGUCCUGGAUGGUUUUUGCUCAUCAGUCGUUGGGUUUAUUUGUGCACGUAACUUCUUUUUUUGCAGAGUCUGCUUUAAUUUUGCCUCGUCAUCAGCGUGCAGCGUUCAUUCUGUAAAGAGGGCUUUCCACAAGCCGUCUCCCUUUGUUGGUGUUUUUUUUUGUGUGUGUGUCCUACACUUGGGGUUCCUCACCCACCAGGACUCCCGUUUGCAACAUGGCUGUGGCCUUGACACCCUAUCUCUAACGUUUCCUAGAGGAGACCCAUAAAAUACUGCUAAUUCAUAAGAAAUGGAGCUUUCUAUUGCUUCUGUUGAAAGAAGUUUUGCUGGGGGAGAUCACAGGGUGCGCCUGAGCUCUACUCGGACCCUGCCUGAGCUCUGCAGCAUGUCUCUCACUCGAUCACCGACAGGCAGGACUGGCGGGAGGGUGCUCGAGGUUAGGAGCCAUCUCUUCAAAGCAAAGCCGGCAUGAGCGGAGCUCUCUUCCAUUGAAUAAACUGGAUUUUUAUUUUUUUUUUUUUGGUACUUUGCAGUUCAUUUUUGUCUAAAGACAUUUCCAGUGAGAACAGUCCCCCAACAUGCUCGGGGGAAUGAAUCAAAAGCACGGUGGCUUCCGGGUGAGGUGGCAGGGGCUGGAAGAGGCGAGAGGUAAGGUGGUUUUAUUUCUUUGUCAUUAGGAAUCCACGUGCUCUGUCUUCAGCUAUUUAUUUAUUUUGCAAAAUAUCAGCCCUCCCGUUAACUGCAAGCCUUACUAUCCCACAGCCACCAUGACCUGGACCUGAUUUUAAGGGGUUUUUUUCUUUUUGUUUCUUUAAAUUCCUCCACCUUUGGAAGGAAUUGGGUGGAAGUACAGCAUUUGGAAAUAGCUCUUAGUAGCGGCACAGGCUAGCUGGCAUGAAGAGAUCAUGGGGAGGGGGUUAAACGAAAACCACGUACACAGAAGGUGCUGAAUGUCUUGCACAACAGCAUUCCUUGCCCAGAGCCUGCCCACCAAAACCUUUUGAUUAUUUUUCUUC